Molecule: long non-coding RNA, 717 nt
Filed under: Olea europaea subsp. europaea
Lineage: Eukaryota; Viridiplantae; Streptophyta; Magnoliopsida; Lamiales; Oleaceae
Source: RNAcentral
CGAACAGUUACAACAAACCCAUACUUGGUCACAUGGGGUCACCAAAAAACUCUAGCUAAAUAAUAGAACUGAUAAAAAACACUACCCAUCCUUCAUCGUUACAAUCAGAUCAAAAAAUUCGCUUGGUUAAUCCUUAAAAGUUCAAAUCAAUCUUUCCAUCACCCUUCAGCAUAACAAAAAUGCCUAGAUACACAACAAUCUUUUUAACCCACAAUUCAUUGAUGCAGCCAGUGCACUCGACCUAAAAUCUGACACCUUUAGAAUUUCAUUCUCAUCAGUAGUAGAUUUUUUUUGUUUCAAUCACAGCGGUAAACACAAAUUUGAGGUAACAAUGAUCAAGAAAUCCAAGAUGCCAUCGUCAAAAUUCUACAAUGUUCAAGUGUGCCUCACCCUGUCCUGAGCUUUCAGCAUCUCCAACUCCACAUUCUACUUCGUCGAAAAAGCACACUCUGAAGUCAGGGCUCUUUUGACCCCGCCCACCACUCUAUGUCAACACAAAUCAUUGGCUCCUAGUCUCGCACUACUAAGUUGUUGGAUUCAUUGUCAGCGGUCUCACAACGCCGUUAAGGUGGGUAGUUGCCGGAGUUAGAGGAUGACUGUUGAGGUAGGGAGAGAGAGAGAGAGAAAAUGAGUAGUGAUAGAAAUUUUUUUAGGGAUUUUGAAAGGGAUGAUGCAUGGUUAGGUGUGUCGGGUAGGAUUUGGGUAAAGUGGAUAUGC